GUGGGGAAUAUUGGACAAUGGGGGGAACCCUGAUCCAGCCAUGCCGCGUGUGUGAAGAAGGCCUUUUGGUUGUAAAGCACUUUAAGCGAGGAGGAGGCUACCGAGAUUAAUACUCUUGGAUAGUGGACGUUACUCGCAGAAUAAGCACCGGCUAACUCUGUGCCAGCAGCCGCGGUAAUACAGAGGGUGCGAGCGUUAAUCGGAUUUACUGGGCGUAAAGCGUGCGUAGGCGGCUUUUUAAGUCGGAUGUGAAAUCCCUGAGCUUAACUUAGGAAUUGCAUUCGAUACUGGAAAGCUAGAGUAUGGGAGAGGAUGGUAGAAUUCCAGGUGUAGCGGUGAAAUGCGUAGAGAUCUGGAGGAAUACCGAUGGCGAAGGCAGCCAUCUGGCCUAAUACUGACGCUGAGGUACGAAAGCAUGGGGAGCAAACAGGAUUAGAAACCCUUGUAGUCC
Molecule: ribosomal RNA, 451 nt
Filed under: uncultured bacterium
Lineage: Bacteria
Description: partial 16S ribosomal RNA
Rfam family: Bacterial small subunit ribosomal RNA
Source: RNAcentral